This 942-nucleotide ribosomal RNA is filed under the name Akkermansia muciniphila. RNAcentral describes it as "bacterial SSU rRNA". It matches the Rfam family "Bacterial small subunit ribosomal RNA", at positions 8 to 949 of the family's 1533-position model. Lineage: Bacteria; Pseudomonadati; Verrucomicrobiota; Verrucomicrobiia; Verrucomicrobiales; Akkermansiaceae. The record is from RNAcentral.
AGAGUUUGAUCCUGGCUCAGGAUGAACGCUGGCGGCGUGCCUAAUACAUGCAAGUCGAACGCGGGCACAUGUGCCCGAGUGGCGAACGGGUGAGUAAUACAUAAGUAACCUGGCCUUUACAGGGGGAUAACUGCUGGAAACGGUAGCUAAGACCGCAUAGGUACGGACACUGCAUGGUGACCGUAUUAAAAGUGCUGCAAGGCACUGGUAGAGGAUGGACUUAUGGCGCAUUAGCUGGUUGGUGAGGUAACGGCUCACCAAGGCGACGAUGCGUAGCCGACCUGAGAGGGUGACCGGCCACACUGGGACUGAGACACGGCCCAGACUCCUACGGGAGGCAGCAGUAGGGAAUUUUCGGCAAUGGGGGGAACCCUGACCGAGCAACGCCGCGUGAAGGAAGAAGGAAUUCGUUCUGUAAACUUCUGUUAUAAAGGAAGAAAGGCGGAUGAAGGAAAUGACAUCCGAGUGACGGUACUUUAUGAGAAAGCCACGGCUAACUACGUGCCAGCAGCCGCGGUAAUACGUAGGUGGCAAGCGUUAUCCGGAAUUAUUGGGCGUAAAGAGGGAGCAGGCGGCAGCAAAGGUCUGUGGUGAAAGACUGAAGCUUAACUUCAGUAAGCCAUAGAAACCAGGCAGCUAGAGUGCAGGAGAGGAUCGUGGAAUUCCAUGUGUAGCGGUGAAAUGCGUAGAUAUAUGGAGGAACACCAGUGGCGAAGGCGACGAUCUGGCCUGUAACUGACGCUCAGUCCCGAAAGCGUGGGGAGCAAAUAGGAUUAGAUACCCUAGUAGUCCACGCCGUAAACGAUGAGGACCAAGUGUUGGGGGUGAAACCUCAGUGCUGAAGUUAACGCAGUGAGUCCUCCGCCUGGGGAGUAUGCACGCAAGUGUGAAACUCAAAGGAAUUGACGGGGGCCCGCACAAGCGGUGGAGCAUGUGGUUUAA